UACGGGGGGGGCAAGCGUUGUUCGGAAUUACUGGGCGUAAAGCGCGCGUAGGCGGCUUUUCAAGUCGGGCGUGAAAGCCCCAGGCUUAACCUGGGAAUUGCGCUUGAUACUGUUGAGCUAGAGUGUGGAAGGGGCUACUGGAAUUCCGUGUGUAGCGGUGAAAUGCGUAGAUAUCGAGAGGAACACCUGCGGCGAAGGCGGGUUGCUGGGCUGACACUGACGCUGAGGCGCGAAAGCUAGGGGAGCGAACGGG
This 253-nucleotide ribosomal RNA is filed under the name uncultured prokaryote. RNAcentral's name for it is "partial 16S ribosomal RNA". It matches the Rfam family "Bacterial small subunit ribosomal RNA", at positions 524 to 776 of the family's 1533-position model. The record is from RNAcentral.